RNAcentral lists this ribosomal RNA (486 nucleotides) under uncultured bacterium. RNAcentral's name for it is "bacterial SSU rRNA". It matches the Rfam family "Bacterial small subunit ribosomal RNA", at positions 30 to 507 of the family's 1533-position model. The record is from RNAcentral.
AUUGAACGCUGGCGGAAUGCUUUACACAUGCAAGUCGAACGGCAGCACAGGUGCUUGCACCUGGUGGCGAGUGGCGAACGGGUGAGUAAUACAUCGGAACGUGCCCAGACGUGGGGGAUAGCUCGGCGAAAGCCGAAUUAAUACCGCAUACGAUCUACGGAUGAAAGCGGGGGAUCGCAAGACCUCGCGCGUUUGGAGCGGCCGAUGGCAGAUUAGGUAGUUGGUGGGGUAAAGGCUUACCAAGCCUGCGAUCUGUAGCUGGUCUGAGAGGACGACCAGCCACACUGGGACUGAGACACGGCCCAGACUCCUACGGGAGGCAGCAGUGGGGAAUUUUGGACAAUGGGCGAAAGCCUGAUCCAGCCAUUCCGCGUGCAGGAUGAAGGCCCUCGGGUUGUAAACUGCUUUUGUACGGAACGAAAAGCCCUCCUCUAAUACAGGGGGGUCAUGACGGUACCGUAAGAAUAAGCACCGGCUAACUACGUG